This 1004-nucleotide long non-coding RNA is filed under the name Homo sapiens (human). RNAcentral's name for it is "mir-99a-let-7c cluster host gene". The record is from RNAcentral. Lineage: Eukaryota; Metazoa; Chordata; Mammalia; Primates; Hominidae.
AUACUAGACUGUGCGUAUCAUGUAGAUCUUCAGGAAUUUUACUGGGAUAAUUAUCCAAAUAAAUUGCAAGCAUUCUAUCCAAAUGGAGCUCUUUCUGAGAUGAAGAGAAUUCUCAAUGUCAAGAUUUGAACAAGAAGAGAAUGGAAUACACAAUAUGGACAUCCAUAAAAAUUCAUCAGAGAGCAUUUUACUACUGAGCUGCAAAGGUAGGAAAAAUAAAUUUUUUUUGGUUAGAAAAUAUACUUCUUUCAUCUGCGUUUCAAUAAUUUAUUCCCCUUGUUAGAUAUACAUGGAAUUGAUAUUGCUUAUUCUGACUAAGUGAAAAGUGUUAUUUCUACUUACUGCUCAAUUAGAAACAUGUAGUGUUUAAUUGUCAGUUUGAAUUUUUCUUUCAUACUAUUACAGUUUAUAUUUUACUAUAGGCAGAAUUUCCUCUUUAUCCUAAAUUUUGAUAUUCUCCAUAAUUUCAUCGUGCCUUGACAUUGCUGUAUAUAAUUUCUAUACAUCAGGAAGGCAAUUCUGUGUGCAUGUGUGUGUGUAUAUAUAUAGUUAGAAGUUAGAAACUGAAACUCUUUUUUGUCUACCAUCAUUUCAUAUUUUUCUUGCUAUUUCAAACCUAUAAUUUUUAAAGAAACGACUAACGUAAUCAUUCAUAGAAUAUGCUGUCAGUAACUUAACAAUAUAAAUGUUAACAUGGAGGCAUUUAGUUCAGCAUUUGCUUUACUUAAUAGAGUGCAGAAAAUGUGGCCCUUUUCUCAGUUAGGGUGUAUGUGAAGAUAAAUUUAGAAUUUCUAGACUAGUAAAUACUUCUCUGAUAAUAACUUAAUUAUAGCUAUUUCAAACCAAAUUGUUUAAUUGUGGUGAAUCAUAUGUAAAUUGUUCAGAUGUAGGUCAACACCCACGCCCACAUUCUAGCACCUCUUUCCUAAUUCAAGACAACUUUGCAGUGCCUAAAAGAGCUGAACAGUGCAGAUUAGAGACAUAAGACAAAAAAAAAAAAAAAA